ACGCUGUCUUUGAGGCCCUGCUGCCCCUGCGCAUGACACCAGGGUCAGGCUGCAGGGCCAGAGCACAUGCUUGUGCAUAACUGGGACCUAACUCUCCACACCCUGCCCCUUUUAACCCUUAGCCACAUGG
Small nucleolar RNA from Pteronotus mesoamericanus, 130 nucleotides. The record is from RefSeq and is a predicted model, not a curated record. NCBI's taxonomy places the organism in Eukaryota, Metazoa, Chordata, Mammalia, Chiroptera, Mormoopidae.